This is a long non-coding RNA of Anguilla anguilla (European eel), 2605 nucleotides long. RefSeq lists it as uncharacterized. The transcript is spliced from 2 exons. NCBI's taxonomy places the organism in Eukaryota, Metazoa, Chordata, Actinopteri, Anguilliformes, Anguillidae. The record is from RefSeq and is a predicted model, not a curated record.
UUUAGGAACAUUUCCUUUUUAUGAAUGGUUCAUAUCUCUGAGAUUGUAGCUACAUUAUUUAUUUUGUUUUGUUCUUUAGGUAUUUGUAGUGUACCUACAGAUAUUUAAUGUAAAGGCCCUUAUUUCUCAGCUGGUUAUAUAUUUUUUCCAGUAGUAUCUCUUAACCUUGGAGUCAGAGGAUAGCUUUUACCCAACCUUUAAUGGGGGACUACUGCACUCACAUCAAUGUACAGUUUAUUACAGAGCAUCCAAUGCGCCAUUUUGUUUAUCUACCUCCAGAGGGUAUCAGGUAUCAGGAAGUGCAACAAAGCAGAUUAAAUGCAUUCUAUCUGUAAAAUUGCUUUUAUGGGCAAUAUUACUGGUAACAACCAUUUGAGAUUAAAAUUUCUAGUCAUACAAUUGUUUCUCUAAUUACCUAAAGUUAUGCCAAGCUUAAAGUAUACGAGUUAUCCAAAGUUUAAUGUAUACAGUUUUUUCAGUCGUGUGUUUCAUGAAAAAGAGUAAGACAAUGAACACAAGAAAGGAUUCCAGACGAACACUAUUCGUAAGGCAGUAGAAGUCUGACACACGACGCAAAGAGGCUCGUCGUCAUCCUCACAGAAAAGAAGAAGUUUCUCUCCGUGAAGACGGCAAAAGACUUCGGCUUCGCUCUGGGUUUUCUGUUUUAAAUACAACUCCACGAUGUUCUUUAAAGCCAGAUUAACUGGAGGCUUGGGAACGGAUGACUUCCUUCUACAGACGGGACACUCUCGACUUCUCUUCUCUUUCCAGCAUCGCUGCAGGCAGUCGUCACAAAAGCUGUGGCUACACUGUAGAACAACAGGGUCAUUGAAGGUGUCACAGCACACAGAACAGAGGAGCUCCUCUUCUAAAAACGACGGUUUUAUCGCCAUUGUUCGUAGGCCUACACCCCGUCUCUGUAAGGCUACCCAAUGUUUUUCGCGAGACUUUCAGUUUUACUUUGGGGCGCACUGUUAUUGAAUCCGAAGAGCACACCCAGUGGGCAUGUUUGGUUGGCUUGACGUUGCGCUCACGUUAAAAUGUGCCCAAAACCCGUUGGCAUUUAGAUGGUCGUAUGUGUCUUGUUUGUCAAUGUUAGCCGGUAACACUGACGCAUAUUGAGGUUUUCCGGACGUAUUUCUUCUACCUUGCUGCAAAAUUUGCGAUUACUUUAUGGUCGGAUUUGAGACACAUUUGUUAGGAGUCGUUUUUUUCUCGUUGAAGCCAUAUACUAAGGUGUAGGGGAGAUCGUGGUUGGUUGGCACACGGGUUGGUUGGCACAGUUAAUUUCCAGGCCACUAAAGGGUGCUGCCACAAAAAUAUAACAUUAAAAUGACUGCCUUCUUGACCUGAACACAUCCAUUCUGUCAAAACAUCUGAAGGUCAAAAACUGUUGAGGUGAGGACAACGUUUCAAUUUUGCAGUGUCAAAAAAAAGGUCCCCCCCCCCCCCCACUAAAUACAGUAUAGAACUGUGUUAGAUAGAGAUAUAGAACGUGUAUUAAUUUCAGUUGAUAGAGAUAGGAAUCAGCUAUAUUUUUAUAUGAAAUUUGAAAUCCUGUGGUGAGUAAUGUUAGCUGGCUAACAUAAUAUUAGUACAGAGGUGUGUCCUAAUGUGGGUGGGGUUGGUUGGCACACUGAUUUUGGAGUUGGUUGGCCACAUGUGUCAACCAACCUUGGUAUAGCCAUUUGGUUAUAAAUGUAUUAACUUGUGCAUUUUACAUAUGUUAAACAUAAUUAAUAUUAUAUAAUACUAUUAUAUGUUGUAGGUUAUAUUAUUAUAAAUUAUGCAUUAUAUUUUUAUCAGGAUUGUAGGUUAAUUGCUCAUGAACAUAAACUUAUUAUGUAUUAAAUAUGGAUUUUGUAUUUGGAAAUAUUUUUAAACAUUUAAAAAUUUCUUGUAGGGGUCAAAAUGGUCUGAAAAUUUAUAAUAAAAACAGACAGAGGAAAGACACCAGCACACAUUAUGCUAGAGGCAGUCAGACAGGUGAAGACUCAAAACAAAAUAUUGCAAAAAGUGGGCACACAAGUUAUGCACUCCAGGUCUACCAACCUACAUCUGCCAGAACUGUGAUUCAUGUGACUCUGAUUGAGACACAGACACAUUGACAGGCUAGUUAGUCUAAUCUAACAACAUACUGAAUUAAUUCAGUCACUCCUAAUACCACACACACAGACACACACUCACACAUACACACCACACACAUAUACACACAAAUCCACACACACUCAUACGUGCACACACACACACACAUUGACAUGCACAAGCAAGAGAAAGGAGGAGUAGAAUUACAAUACUGGAGGUUAUUGGCUGUUCAAUUUCAUUUGAAAAGGUUAAUUUUAAUUUUGAUUCCAGAGGGGAAAUUCUCUUAUGAAAUAUAAACCUGUCAUGGUUGUCAAUAUAUAACAAUUUGUGUUUUUCAUUUUAAAUGAGAGAAUUAAAGAUCAUAAAUACUAUUAAGUGAUCAAAUGUUAUUUUCUUUAAAUUGCCAUUAAUAUAAAGGCCAAUUACGAAAACUGUUAUUUGGUUAAAAAAUGGGCAGAAAUUCUGUUGAAUGUUUAUGUAUUCUGGUUCUGGUUUGAAUUAAAUGCUCAAAUUAUUUCUA